Molecule: ribosomal RNA, 552 nt
Filed under: uncultured bacterium
Lineage: Bacteria
Description: bacterial SSU rRNA
Rfam family: Bacterial small subunit ribosomal RNA
Source: RNAcentral
AAGUCGAACGAGAAAGUGGAGCAAUCCAUGAGUACAGUGGCGACCGGGUGAGUAACACGUGACUAACCUACCUUCGAGUGGGGGAUAACCUCGGGAAACCGAGGCUAAUACCGCAUAACAUCGUGAGAUCAAAGCAGCAAUGCGCUGGAAGAGGGGGUCGCGGCUGAUUAGCUAGUUGGCGGGGUAACGGCCCACCAAGGCGAAGAUCGGUAGCCGGCCUGAGAGGGCGCACGGCCACACUGGAACUGAAACACGGUCCAGACUCCUACGGGAGGCAGCAGUGGGGAAUUUUGCGCAAUGGGGGAAACCCUGACGCAGCAACGCCGCGUGGAGGAUGAAGCCCCUUGGGGCGUAAACUCCUUUCGACCAAGACGAUAAUGACGGUACUGGUGGAAGAAGCACCGGCUAACUCUGUGCCAGCAGCCGCGGUAAUACAGAGGGUGCGAGCGUUGUUCGGAAUUAUUGGGCGUAAAGGGCGCGUAGGCGGCGCAGCAAGUCACUUGUGAAAUCUCCAAGCUUAACUUGGAGCCUGCAGGCGAAACUGCUGUGCUG